Molecule: ribosomal RNA, 411 nt
Filed under: uncultured bacterium
Lineage: Bacteria
Description: bacterial SSU rRNA
Rfam family: Bacterial small subunit ribosomal RNA
Source: RNAcentral
ACUGAGUGGCGGACGGGUGAGUAACGCGUGGGUAACCUACCUUGUACAGGGGGACAACAGUUGGAAACGACUGCUAAUACCGCAUAAGCGCACAGCUUCGCAUGAAGCAGUGUGAAAAGUUUUUUCGGUACAAGAUGGACCCCGCGUCUGAUUAGCUAGUUGGUGAGGUAACGGCCCACCAAGGCGACGAUCAGUAGCCGACCUGAGAGGUGACCGGCCACAUUGGGACUGAGACACGGCCCAAACUCCUACGGGAGGCAGCAGUGGGGAAUAUUGCACAAUGGGCGAAAGCCUGAUGCAGCCGACGCCGCGUGAGCGAAGAAGUAUUUCGGUAUGUAAAGCUCUAUCAGCAGGGAAGAUAAUGACGGUACCUGACUAAGAAGCACCGGCUAAAUACGUGCCAGCCGCCGC